GGGUUAGGCAUGUCUGAGCUCAGACUCUCCUUGGGUGGGGCUUGCCGUGGCUGCUGUGGGGGAUGGGAUGUUGUUUCCAGUCCAGUUGAAUUAUGUUCCUGGGAAAUUAUGGCUACCUCUGCUGUGUCACAUAGGUUGCCAAGGAAGUGGGAGAAAGCCAGCAGCCACAAGCCUCACCCAGCUCCCAUGGAGCCUGCAGCCUGCAGCUUGAAAGGCCAGCCUCAUUCCCACUGUGCCCCCACAACAGCACCGAAGCACCGAGUUUAUUUCCAGGCAGGCAGUGAGCAGGGCUGAGAAAUUGCCCCAGGCUACAAGCCUCCCAGCUGAGAAAGCAAGCAGACUCACAGUUCCUUGGCUGUCCCAUGCAGCCUGCAGCAGCAAUCCACCCCCUUUAAAGUGUCUGUGGAUUCUUUCAGCUUUUUUGGUUCAAGCAAUUCUCCUGUCUCAGCCUCCCGAGUAGCUGGGAUUACAGUCAUGUGCCCCUGUGUCCAGAAUUGGUUCCUUCUGGUGGGUUCUUGGUCUUGCUGUCUUCAAGAAUGAAGCCGUGGACCCUCGUCAUGAAUGUUACAGUUCUUAAAGAUGAAGAGAACAGCAUCAGGGCACAUUGAGGCUCAGAAAUUUAUAUUCCAAGAAGAGGUGCACAGGAACAGAGCAGAUCCAAAGCAGACAACCACCUGGAAGCAGUCAUAACAACAGCAAUAGCAAAUCAAUGCUGAUAAAAGAAAUCAAGUACAGAGAGUUUUAAGGACAUUGUCCAAAGUUGUACAAGACUCCAACACUAAGCAUUCACCUGGAGAUAACCUACAGAGAUACUCUGUGUUACCCACAACUAGUCUGUUGACUAAGUUGGUGAAUAUAUUUGGGAAAAGCCCAUGUGGAAGAAUGGAAGCCUGCAUUAUCUUUCUCAGAGACAGACAGGAAGGUGACUCUAUGGAAGACAUCAGCGAUAAACUAGGAAGGAGUGACACGAUACAUUUGUUCACAUUACAGCAGAUGGCCUCAGACUCGAACUGGAAUAUCAGCAUCAGCUCUCCUGAGUCUCUAGCCUGCCAUCCUACAUCCUGCAGAUUCCAGACUUGCUGGCCUCCAUAGUAAUGUGUCAACAAUUUUGGCAUUGCAGAAGACCAUGGAGACAACUUUUUUAUUUCUCCAUCACACAAGGACUGAAGAUACAAAAAUGAGUUUUUCUUUCCUAUGGCCUUGGACUAGCUAUAUACGAUAGUAAUUAGCAAGCAGGCUCUGAAUUACACGAGCCCCUCCCACUGACUCUUGUACUUUUUAGCUAUAAGAACCUAAGCACGAACUUCGCAGAGCUCCAGUGCUUCUGUUUUGAAAAGAGAUAAUAUUUCCUAUGGGAUAGGGUUGUCUGGGGGUACUAAAUGAGAACUACAUACAAAGUACUUAAUGGAAGGUAUGUAGGACUCAAUAGAGGUAGCUAUUAAAUUGUAUGUAAGUAACAAAUCCUGAUAAUGUUCAAUUCUGAAUAAAACUUAGCAAGGUAGUUUUAUUGUCUUUAUUAUUUUUUAUUGAUUAGAAAACUGAUCCUAAAAUAAGUUAAUUAAUUUUGCCAUAGAAAUACCCAUUUAUUGUACAAAUUGGUGAUUUUCGAACCCAGAUCUAUUUUCCACUGUCUUGCAGCAAUGCUGUGCAGAGCUGGGCCUGCCUCAUGCCCUUGGCAUAGCUGUGAGUUACUGUGUAAGCUGUGUUCACCUGCUAAAGAGUUCAUCUUCCAGAAAAAUCAGAGAGAUAUUACGGGCAAAAGCCCAGAAUUCCUUAAGAGUAUAGGAAGAUGCACAAUGAACACUCCCACCCACUAAGAAGGAAGAACAAUUAAAGGCUGAACUAUGGUGAUGCCAUAUUUUUACAUCCGAAGGCACUGCACCACAGGCCCACAAUGAACAUUUAGCUCUCUUAAGUCUCCACAUUCUUUAUUCUGUUUUUGGAAAAGCUUCCUGUUUCUAAUUUGACAAGCCAUCUGCCUUGUUAGCUUUGCUUCCUUUAUCAUUUUUUUUUUACCUUUGAAAAUAAACUCUAGAAGCAGCCCCACGUAAGGCAAAGAAAAAUAAUGAAGAAAAACAUGUGCCAAGGGCUUCACUGACACAACGUUCAUCCCUAGUGUUUUUAAUUUGUCGAUUUGUUUUGCUUGAUUGGAGGUCCACUGAAUAGGAACAUAAUUUCUAUGCUACUGCCUGUAUGCCAAUACAAUCAUUCACUAUUUCUUAAUAUAAAAUUGCAAGAUGGCUUACUUUUAGAAAUACAGCGGGAAAUGUAAUUAAGUAUUGAAAACAGUUUCUCUUUUCCAGUCAAAAGUGUCUGAAUAACUUCUACUUAUAUACUACUCUGUAAUUGCCAAAGCACUUUUAUAUGUAUCGUUAGAUUUAAUCCUCCUAUUUACCUUCUCUGGGAUUAAAUUAGCUUGUAGUUGAGGAUGGGGUGGGGUAGAUUUUGUGAAAGUUCUACAGAUUCUGCUGUGUGUUCUCUUCUUCUUGUUUAAAUAUUGGAAUUUUAGGAAUCUGCACAGGUCUCUUAAUUUAUCACAUAGGCCUCAGGUAAAAAAACUGGUUUAGGCACAGGGUAAAAACAGACUUAACCUGUCCCUUCCAGGUAAACAUUUGUAUUUUAAGUGCAUUUAAUUAUCUCUGAAAUUCCACAUUUGACCUUUUCACCUUCCCCAAAAACUUCUUGGGAAAGAAACCAUUGGUUUGUACUCCUUGAGAAGCCUCAUACAAGUUGCUUAAUAUUUAAAGGUUAAAAAAUAAUUACUUGGGCUCAAAAUUAACAGGUUUUUGCUUGUAUUCCCUGUGAUGUAUGAGCAGAUUACUUUAUUAGAAAAUCAUUAGAGCAUAAUUUGCUUCUACUUGUUGCUGACAUCAAUUUUUAUUUCUUGUAAUUAAAAUACAGGUUCUUAUAAUAUGUCAUUAUUGUAAAUAGCAUGCUGCCAGAUAUUGAUGUGAAAUUGUCAUUAACCCUAACACCUAUGCCUUUUUUUAAAAGUGUGUGAGUUUACCAAGGUUAUGCCACAUUUAGACCCCUUCACCCUACUUAUACACAAAGUGCUCUUUCUACAGACAGCCUGGGAUGGGUCUCACAAUGAAUUUCCAUAAAUAUUUCCUUUUGUGUUGUCUUGCUUUUAUUCUCAAAAGCCAUGAAAACCCAACUGAAUUUGUCUGGAUCAUUGUGAAUGAGUUUCUUACUGAUGUAGGAA
RNAcentral lists this long non-coding RNA (3205 nucleotides) under Homo sapiens (human). Its description in RNAcentral is "HSALNT0249256". Lineage: Eukaryota; Metazoa; Chordata; Mammalia; Primates; Hominidae. The record is from RNAcentral.